UACGUCUACAGCUCUCCACCACCU
This 24-nucleotide non-coding RNA is filed under the name Arabidopsis thaliana (thale cress). The record is from RNAcentral. Lineage: Eukaryota; Viridiplantae; Streptophyta; Magnoliopsida; Brassicales; Brassicaceae.